CUGAUGCAACCGGUCUGAACAAAGUUGGAGUAAAUAUUUCCAUUGUCGACUACACAGAUUCUGAUGAAUCUCAGACUCCAUCUAGGAAUCCUGUUCAUGUUAACAGAUGUUUUCAGAUAUCAAGUCCAAGUUCUGCCUCUGACUAUGAACUCAGCCUCUCCAAAAAGGGUUACCACCAAGUUCCUAUCCCUAGGCUUAGGAGGACCAAAAGCAUACAGAUGAAAAACUGGAUUGAUUUGGAUUCGGAUGAGCUUUUUGACUCAACCUCAGCUGACAGUGGAGAGGAAUAUAUCCCAAAGACCAGUGAAGAUUCUGAUG
Non-coding RNA from Labrus bergylta (ballan wrasse), 318 nucleotides. The record is from RefSeq and is a predicted model, not a curated record. NCBI's taxonomy places the organism in Eukaryota, Metazoa, Chordata, Actinopteri, Labriformes, Labridae.